Molecule: long non-coding RNA, 562 nt
Organism: Bubalus bubalis (water buffalo)
Lineage: Eukaryota; Metazoa; Chordata; Mammalia; Artiodactyla; Bovidae
Exons: 2
Source: RefSeq, a predicted model, not a curated record
AUAUUCUGUUCCUCAAGACAGGUCUCAUUCCCUAUAAAAAAGCCAGUUUGUUGGGGACACCACACCAGAUCUGAGUAACCACGCAGCUUGCCCUUCUCCAUGUAGCAGGUCCAGCUGCCUAUGAGGCAUGAGUUCCCACGAGCAGAAGAAGCCCUGAAUCCCACUUCCCCAGCCUCAGCAGCAGCAAGUGAAAUGUCCCUGCUCCUCAACAGUCGACUCCAGCACCAGCUCAACAGAAAACUAAGCAGAAGUUAGGUGGGCUACAGCCUAGCCCUAGAGGAACCAGCCAUCAGAAGUUGACCUUCCCUACUCUAAUUAGGAGUCCCAUUUACCUUACUGUCACCCUGAGUCACAGACCUUCUUAAUUUACACCCUAAAUAUGUGUGCCAUGAAACUUUCCUUCCUAAACACACAGGGCCUCUAACCUCUGAGUUAGGCUGAAGGUCUGGGUACCUUAGAACCUUAGCCAUCAGGUGCUCUGGAUUCACCUGAAAGAGGGGCUUAAGGUGAAUACAAGUGGAUCAGCUUUGUUCUUCCACUAUUAAAUGCAUUUUCAAUUCCA